This 295-nucleotide long non-coding RNA is filed under the name Lepidothrix coronata (blue-crowned manakin). RNAcentral describes it as "lncRNA (ENSLCOG00000013775.1)". Lineage: Eukaryota; Metazoa; Chordata; Aves; Passeriformes; Pipridae. The record is from RNAcentral.
UCUGUUAUUUUAGUUAAAAGCCUGUGGGUCUAAUCCUGUAUACAGCAGCAUGUUGAUAUUUUCCAGUAUGGCAAUGUGAGUGACUGGGGGAGAGAACAACGUGCAAUCCUGGCUGUUCAUUCCUGGCUGGAGGUGCAGCUGAUGCCUGUGACAGGUUGUGUGGGCAUCUGCAUUGAAGCAUUCUGGAUUUCAUUGGGCAUGGUGCCUGAUAGUGAUUACAAAAUCUGCUGCUGAAGCAACUCCUAAAGGAGGUGGCAGACCUAUGGUUGUGGAUCCUUUGCACAUAUAAAUGUUA